Eptesicus fuscus (big brown bat) is the source of this 759-nucleotide long non-coding RNA. RefSeq lists it as uncharacterized. The transcript is spliced from 5 exons. The record is from RefSeq and is a predicted model, not a curated record. Lineage: Eukaryota; Metazoa; Chordata; Mammalia; Chiroptera; Vespertilionidae.
CCGGGUGGGACUUAGGACUGACUUGGGGUCAGGACCUGACUCCGCCCCUUGCGCUACCUUGGGCAAGCCACUUGCUGACCCAGGCUCUCAGCUUCCCCACGUCUGAUGAAAUACCUACCUCACAGGGUUGUUAUAGGGAUCGAAUGAGUCAGUGUGCUCAAUUAUUAGCUAAUCAAGCACAUGUCUGGAGCGCCUACUACGUUAUGAAGGAGUGAAAGAGCCCUUGACUAAAGUGGUGAAGCCUGAAGAAGGGUCAGAUUGGGAGAGAAGAUCAAGAGUUUGGCUUUGAGAAGGAUGCGAAAUUGAGGCAGCCAGGAGCGCAGUUUGGACACGCCUGACGGCCUCCGCUCCUUGCUCCUUGCCGGGAGGAAUGCUUGAUGAGCCCACAGUGGAAGGGUCAGACAAAUGAGGUGGACAGAAAAUGGAUGGCAACCUUCGGCAGUGAGCGGCCUGGGCCAGGGGAGCCAGCCAUGACUGCCUGGGCAGUGGGGAGCACAUUCCCAGCCGACUUCAGCAGAGGGUGGAGGCAGCCAGACUGGGGAAGGAGCUAUGACUGGAGAUGUUUCAGGCACUGGAGAUGGAAUCAGACAGACAUAAUCCCAUCCUCAGGGAGCAACAGCCAGUGGGAAGAUCAACCAACCAACAUACACUAUUACAACCAGAGGCGCUGGGAAAGUCAGUAUCUGCGGGGAAGAAUUCACGUGGCUGGUCAAGGAAGGGCUCCACGGGAGGGAGGGACGUUAUACUGAGGCCUGAGGA